Molecule: ribosomal RNA, 2388 nt
Filed under: Triticum aestivum (bread wheat)
Lineage: Eukaryota; Viridiplantae; Streptophyta; Magnoliopsida; Poales; Poaceae
Description: partial small subunit ribosomal RNA
Source: RNAcentral
AUGGCGGAAUCCGCGGUGGCCUCGGUGGUGCGAGCGUUCGGCACGCUGGCCGCCAAGGAGGCCGCCUUCCUCCGCGGCGUUAACGCCGACGCCGACCUCCUCAGGGCCGAGCUCCGCCGCAUGCAGUGCUUCCUUCGCGACGCCGACGCCAAGCGCCGCGCCGGGGGGCGCGACAGCGAGCGCCUCAAGAACUGGGUCGUGGACGUGCGCGAUGCGGCGUACGACGCGGGGAACGCGCUCGAGGAGGCCGACUUCCUCGCGCGCCACCGCCACAUGCGGCGCGGGUUCUUGGGCGCCCUACCAUGGCUCGCCAAUCUCGCCGCGCUUCACACGUUCGGCGUGAAGAUUAGGCGCGUCCGGGCCAGGAUCCGUCAGAUCUCCGACAGCGCCGUGGCCUACGGGAUCACGGACCUCGGGGAGGCCAGCGCCUUGGCUGAUGUCGAGGAGCAAGAGGUGACGCCUUAUGACCUCAGCUGGAACAGUGCAGAUAGUGAUUUUUUUGUUGGGUUCCACGAGGAGAGGGAUGCUAUAUUCAAGGAGUUGUUGGAUCCUGAGAUUUCGCCGAUUUGCGUCGUCUCCAUAGUUGGGAUGGCUGGAUCGGGCAAGUCCACCCUCGCAAGGAAAGUUUACAACGACCCACGGAGCAGUGAUGGUGGGGCAAUCAGUGGUGGCAAGUGGAAGCAAAUGACCAGUGAAAAAUUGGAAAGUAUGGGCGAGGAAGAUGUCAAGGAACUUCUGAGCGAUUUCCUGGCUCAAAGAAAAUUUCUUGUAGUAUUGGAUGAUGUUUGGAAGAGUAGUUCUUACGAUAAGAUAAGUAAGAUCCUCAGUGUCUUGCCGGAUGUGAACAAUGGUAGUAGGAUCGUUUUGACCACCCGAGAUAUGGAUGUCGCAAGGCAUGUCAACAGGAGAAGCAGCAUUCAUGAGAAGAAGCUUUUGGAUGAGAAGGAGAGCUGGGAGUUGCUUGAGAAGUGGUCCUUUCCGGAGUACCGAGAUGUAAGCAGUGCUGAUCGAUCACGGUUGAUGGAGAUAGGGAAGAAAUUGGCAGUGAAAUGCAAAGGGUUGCCGCUUGCUCUUGUGGUCUUGGGAGGUUAUCUUUCUAGGAACUUGGACUAUGACAUUUGGUCAGGAUUGGUUGGUAAUCUAGACUGGGAAGCUCGCAGGAAUGAUGAGCCAUUCUGGAAGAUCAUAGAUAGAAGUUACAAUGACCUCCCAAACCAUCAAUUGAAAUCAUGCUUUCUUUAUCUAGCCUCCUUUCCAGAAGACUAUGUCAUCCGUGUAGCAAGACUUUGCAAGUUGUUGAUUGCUGAAGGACUUAUUCCACAUCGGCAGAAUCGGACAAUGGAAGAUACAGCCAGAGAGUACAUAAAGGAGUUGGUACAGAGGUGUAUGCUCCAAGCCGUUGAAAGGAGCAAGUGGCAUGGCUCGAUAAAGAGUGUGGUUCUCCAUGACGUGAUUCGUGAAUGGGCUAUUGCAGAGGCAAGGAGGGAGGGGCUGUUCAACAUAUGGAGCAAUCCGACAGAUUGCGAUCAGGCACUCUCUGAUUCAGUAACGGCUUACCGAGUUGCUCUCCAUAACUUUGCUGGACGUACUGAGAUUAAUGUGGCCAUGCCCAAGUUGCGGACCUUGUUGGUGUUUUUCAAUUUACCGGCAGUAUCUGUACUGUGCAGGCUGAAAUUUCUCAGAGUGCUUGAUCUUCACGGCCUAACAGUCAAGGAACGACGAUUGGCUGAAAAUGGAAACAAACACAUUGCUCGCAGAAACGUGAAAAAAUGGGCAGCCUUAUUCAGAGCUUUGGAGGGAAUGGAGCAGCUCGUGUUCUUACACUUGGAGAGUUGGAGAACACAAAGGCGCACCAAAUGGCGAGGGCGGGUCUUCUCCACACAACUCUUCGGCAGCAUUUCGCGCCAUAGGCAUCUUCAAGUGCUAGAGCUCGCCGGAGACUGGCUGUGCGGGGUUGGCCAGCUAAGCAAGCUCCCUCAUUGCCUCAAGAAGCUCAAGCUGAUAGCGUCUGAAGAACUGAGUAAAGACCCGAUGCCUGUGCUGGGCAUCCAUCCGAAUCUGGUGGUGCUUGUCUUGGAGAGCGCUUUCAAAGGGAACGGCAUGAUAUGCCAUGCAGAAGGGUUUCCUAGACUGCGCCACCUGACAUUUGAACACGUCGGGCGUCUCGGGUCUUGGAAUGUCGAAGCUGGGGCAUUUCCUUCACUAACCCAUCUGAAUCUUAGUGUAUCGAGCUUCCCCGUUGUCCCUCCUCUUGGCCUGUUUCAUGUGACUUCGCUGCAGACGUUGCUGUUGAAACAGCACCCUAUGGACGAGAGCAGUAUUUGCUUAAGUACUGUUGGCAAACUAGAGGAGAGGGGGUGCGAGGUCAUCAUCAAACGGUUGGGUUAA